RNAcentral lists this ribosomal RNA (449 nucleotides) under uncultured bacterium. RNAcentral describes it as "partial 16S ribosomal RNA". It matches the Rfam family "Bacterial small subunit ribosomal RNA", at positions 29 to 523 of the family's 1533-position model. The record is from RNAcentral.
AACGAACGCUGGCGGCAUGCCUAACACAUGCAAGUCGAACGAAGCCUUCGGGCUUAGUGGCGCACGGGUGCGUAACGCGUGGGAAUCUGCCCUUUGGUUCGGAAUAACAGUUGGAAACGGCUGCUAAUACCGGAUGAUGACGAAAGUCCAAAGAUUUAUCGCCAGAGGAUGAGCCCGCGUAGGAUUAGCUAGUUGGUGUGGUAAAGGCGCACCAAGGCGACGAUCCUUAGCUGGUCUGAGAGGAUGAUCAGCCACACUGGGACUGAGACACGGCCCAGACUCCUACGGGAGGCAGCAGUGGGGAAUAUUGGACAAUGGGCGAAAGCCUGAUCCAGCAAUGCCGCGUGAGUGAUGAAGGCCCUAGGGUUGUAAAGCUCUUUUACCUGGGAUGAUAAUGACAGUACCGGGAGAAUAAGCCCCGGCUAACUCCGUGCCAGCCGCCGCGGUAA